RNAcentral lists this ribosomal RNA (31 nucleotides) under Colletotrichum gloeosporioides. RNAcentral's name for it is "partial 18S ribosomal RNA". Lineage: Eukaryota; Fungi; Ascomycota; Sordariomycetes; Glomerellales; Glomerellaceae. The record is from RNAcentral. RNAcentral also lists the same sequence under 1 other name.
UCCGUAGGUGAACCUGCGGAGGGAUCAUUAU